UGGGAACUGGUUUGGAAGGUGUUCUAACCAGGGCGGGAAUUCAACUGACCUUUGGGUCAUCUUUGGUUGGCUUUGGGAAGCCUUUAGAGACUUAAUUGGAGCGGAGUUGAGACCUAUUGGAGUUGAUUGUGGGACAUAGUACGAGAGCCUUCCACAGCGGG
Molecule: long non-coding RNA, 161 nt
Organism: Ananas comosus (pineapple)
Lineage: Eukaryota; Viridiplantae; Streptophyta; Magnoliopsida; Poales; Bromeliaceae
Exons: 3
Source: RefSeq, a predicted model, not a curated record